AGUGGCGCACGGGUGCGUAACGCGUGGGAAUCUGCCCUUAGGUACGGAAUAACUCAGAGAAAUUUGUGCUAAUACCGUAUGAUGUCGAAAGACCAAAGAUUUAUCGCCUAAGGAUGAGCCCGCGUAAGAUUAGCUUGUUGGUGAGGUAAAAGCUCACCAAGGCGACGAUCUUUAGCUGGUCUGAGAGGAUGAUCAGCCACACUGGGACUGAGACACUGCCCAGACUCCUACGGGAGGCAGCAGUGGGGAAUAUUGGACAAUGGGCGAAAGCCUGAUCCAGCAAUGCCGCGUGAGUGAUGAAGGCCUUAGGGUUGUAAAGCUCUUUUACCAGGGAUGAUAAUGACAGUACCUGGAGAAUAAGCUCCGGCUAACUCCGUGCCAGCAGCCGCGGUAAUACGGAGGGAGCUAGCGUUGUUCGGAAUUACUGGGCGUAAAGAGUACGUAGGCGGUGAUUCAAGUCAGAGGUGAAAGCCUGGAGCUCAACUCCAGAACUGCCUUUGAAACUAGAUCGCUAGAAUUAUGGAGAGGUUAGUGGAAUUCCGAGUGUAGAGGUGAAAUUCGUAGAUAUUCGGAAGAACACCAGUGGCGAAGGCGACUAACUGGACAUAUAUUGACGCUGAGGUACGAAAGCGUGGGGAGCAAACAGGAUUAGAUACCCUGGUAGUCCACGCCGUAAACGAUGAUAACUAGCUGUUCGGGC
Molecule: ribosomal RNA, 700 nt
Filed under: uncultured Alphaproteobacteria bacterium
Lineage: Bacteria; Pseudomonadati; Pseudomonadota; Alphaproteobacteria
Description: bacterial SSU rRNA
Rfam family: Bacterial small subunit ribosomal RNA
Source: RNAcentral